Molecule: ribosomal RNA, 303 nt
Filed under: uncultured bacterium
Lineage: Bacteria
Description: partial 16S ribosomal RNA
Rfam family: Bacterial small subunit ribosomal RNA
Source: RNAcentral
AGCAGUCGCCGCGGUAAUACGAAGGGGGCUAGCGUUGUUCGGAUUUACUGGGCGUAAAGCGCACGUAGGCGGACUUUUAAGUCAGGGGUGAAAUCCCGGGGCUCAACCCCGGAACUGCCUUUGAUACUGGAAGUCUUGAGUAUGGUAGAGGUGAGUGGAAUUCCGAGUGUAGAGGUGAAAUUCGUAGAUAUUCGGAGGAACACCAGUGGCGAAGGCGGCUCACUGGACCAUUACUGACGCUGAGGUGCGAAAGCGUGGGGAGCAAACAGGAUUAGAUACCCCCGUAUCCCUGUCUCUUAUACA